Molecule: long non-coding RNA, 293 nt
Filed under: Daucus carota (carrot)
Lineage: Eukaryota; Viridiplantae; Streptophyta; Magnoliopsida; Apiales; Apiaceae
Description: long non-coding RNA (DCAR_LNC003600)
Source: RNAcentral
UCGAACCACACGAGAAACAUGCCCCAGUCUGUUUAUAACAAGCUCUACCCGGAUGGUGUCUACCACAUGUAGCACAAGGAGCCACCAGAAUCAUAUUGGGGUUACCCCCAUACGCUGGAUAACGUCCCUGUCCCCUCUGACGAUUCUGCCACUGUCUAGGCUGCUGCUGAAACUGCUGAGUCUGCCCCUGCUGAGCCUGCCCCUGACCACUAUACUGAUUCUGUCUCUGACCAUGAGCUGUAUGACCUCCCCUAUUCUGGUUCUGUCCACGCCACUGUCCAUACCGACUGUUC